Molecule: long non-coding RNA, 765 nt
Filed under: Androctonus crassicauda
Lineage: Eukaryota; Metazoa; Arthropoda; Arachnida; Scorpiones; Buthidae
Source: RNAcentral
CAAAUAAUUUGUUACCGUCGAUUAAAAAAAUAAUACUGUCUUAACUACCGUUUCGGUGGAACGGGCCCUUUUAGAGAAUAGUACCUCUACGGAAACCUAUUUAUAUAAUAAAAAGUUUGACGAAGAAAUAUAAUCCUUCGGGCGCAGACUGAUAUCCAAAAAUGAAUUGUUUCCCCUUUAAGUUUUUCUUCCUCUUCAUUAGCCAUAUCUAUAUAUAAACGAAUCCAUUCUCCUCCGUCACCCGACAAAACAGUCGACCUGGAUCGCGACCAACAACUCGAACUUGGCACGGUCGGUGUUUUCGUAACCACCGCAGGUAAGAGGAACACCUUUCAUCGCCGUACGCCAAAUUAAUCGUUACCUUCUAAACGGUUUACUUAGGAAAACCGGUGGAAAGAACAACGGAGGAAAAGAGAACAGCGUAUCUGUGCGAUAAAGAAAAUGGACACUGUAAUUCUAUGUCGUAUUUCUCGAAAAAGGCCAAGAAAAGGAGACGACGACGACGCUGUGUUAAAUAAUGCCCUAAGAACUUUUGAAACCGCUACAAAAGAAUUAAUAGAAAAUAACGAAACGAAUGAAAGACAAAGAUCGAAUAGACUUUUUUGGUGGUGGAUUAAAUGUUCGUUGACGAAAAUUAACAAAAAAAGAUCAGUACGAAGUUACGAAAGAUACGGAAUUACUCUUGUUUAAGUAUGAAGGUAAAGAUGUAAAUCGAAUAUAGUGUAAAUUUCUAUUUAUAUUUUUUACUGCACGUUUCAAUUUUUG